Molecule: long non-coding RNA, 4531 nt
Organism: Acanthochromis polyacanthus (spiny chromis)
Lineage: Eukaryota; Metazoa; Chordata; Actinopteri; Pomacentridae
Exons: 5
Source: RefSeq, a predicted model, not a curated record
GGAGGGGGAGGGGCGCAUCUGCACCGAAUAGAUAAGCCGCUGAGGGUUAGGGAGACACUUUAGACCUGACUUUGGCGUCCGAGGGGAAGGGUCUUCCAGGAAAAACACAUUCUAAAAUAACACGUGGUAAGGCGGGACUUCCUGUAAAAGAGCACGUGGUAAGGCGGGACUUCCGGUAAAAAAGGGGGCGGGGCCACCUGUCAAAGUUGUGACGUGGCAGCUUCUGAUUGGAAGCUGUCAAUUUUGACGAAAGGUGGUUUAUAUUCCUCUCUGCAAUGGAUUCAAAACUGCGAAACAAAUACUUAGGUCACAAACAAGCCCACUCUAAAUCUGGGAAAUAUCCCCCAAAAAGUCCAACAAAAGACAUCAAACUCAAGAAACCAUGAGGAGAAACACACAAAAAGAGACACUGUAUACAGAAGGUUUCCAACCAGCUUGCAGGAGAAGAUAGCUGUGGUUCAUCAUGUGCUGAAAGCUCCGAGAAUUUGUCAGAAGUUGAAUUAGUCUGACUUUGCCGUUGGUGAGGUGGCAGUUGAAGACUUUCUCUUCAGCUGUCUGGAGACCAAUGGUGAUCAGAUUCCAUGUGGAGGGCCAUCGCCAAGAGAAUGGUCAGGAAAGUGGGAGUGUGACGAGUGUUUCUGGGUGCACUGAGAGAGUGAUUCCACUUCUCUGGAGGCUUGCUUGCUUCAGACUUCAAAGUUUUUGUUUGUUUGUUUGUAGAGCUAUGGGUAGAGCGAUGGCGUUAUGCUCAUGGACGAUUGUUGUGGUUCAUCAGGUGAUCUAAGUUCCAAGAGUUUGUCUGAAGUUGGGUUAACUUAACUUUGUUGUCAGUGCUGUGGCAGGUAAAGUCUUUCUCUUUGCUUUAUGAAGACCUGUGAUGGUCUGGUUGGAGAUUGAAUAUGGCGGGACAUCAGAGAAUAUGUCGGGAGUGAGGGAAAGUGCAAAUCGUUUCUAGAUGCAGCCUUCUGUGGACAAUUGCCUGCUUCAGCAUCAACGCUGAAGCAAGUGGAAGUUGAUGCGUGAUCGAUUGGAUGAGGACUGUCUGAUUCUGAUUAGAGUCGUCUCUUUGGAACAGGUAAUACAGCUAAUAGCAUCUCUGGAGUUAUGCCGGUCGCCUCUUCUCUGAGGGCUUGGUGUGGAUGAGGCUGAUCAGUGUGGAGGAGAUCUGGAGCUGGAUGUUUCCUUAUGUAGGGCUGAUGGAUGAGCAGUUCAUGAUAGACUUUUCUAAAUGUUUCAGACUGGCGGCAUGGCUGAGCGAUUCCAUGUGUUGAUCCAUACGCAAGAAGUGAGAACAAACAAGUGCGAAGGGCAGAGUGCUGUUGAUAGACAUAGAACAGGAAGGGGAGUGAUUGAGGUGUGGUCCUGCUCCUGAACCUCAGCUAAAGAUUUUAUCUCCAUUCAGUCUUUAACCUGGCAUUCAACCAACCCUGACACAGAGUGUCAGCUCAACAUCAAAUGUGACUCAUCUCCAAACAGACGUGGAGAUUCUCCUGUUGGUGUCUCACUUUCAGACCCUUUUCAACCAAUCUCCUGUUGACUAUUUCAUGACAAACUUGGAUAUUUGCAUCCUGUUGCCAUUCUUGUAGCAGCACUUUCUAUCACUUUUAUCUCAUUAAAUUGAAAACAAAAACGCUCAUUCUGAGUUCUGUUUCCCCGUUGAAUAAUUACUCAGUAAUCUUAUAACACAAAUGUAAGUGUUAUGUUGACUAAAAUGGAGCUUUACAGCAAAUCCCCCACGUUUACAAGCAGUAUCCCACACUUGGGCCAACAGUGUAAGUAUCUGGUGAAAGGUAACACUUGUAUUUGUUCUCCACAGUAUUCUCUGGAUGAGUUGGAGGAGAUGAUGUCGAGUCUGCAGCAUUUUCGCUCUGUGCUCAGUAACAUGGAGCUACAACUCUUUGAAGACCAGGCAGCAGUUUACAGCGCCCUCUCUGACAAGGACAGGGAGAAGCUUCAGGACAUACAGGAGCUGAGGCGUGCAGUGAAGCAGCAGGCUGGGGAGCUGGAGCUGCGGUUGAAUGAACUGGCCCAUCAGUAUGAUGACAGUCUGAAACUGAAGAUGCACAGACUACUGGACGAGCAGUCUCUGCUCUGCUCUCAACUCAGAGUUUUUCUACCUGGAACAGUGUCCUCAUCGUUGAGCCCUGCAUCCAACAGGACAGUAGCCACUCAGUGCUGUCUCCUUCCCUGGCUCCCAAUUCAAAGAAGCCACGUCUCUGCCUGGACUGCAAGGAACAUGGAUUUCACCACACAGUCACCUGCUGGAUCAGAGAACAUCUGUGAGGACCAAGUUGGUUCUCCUACUAAGGCAGACAAGCUCAACAUAGUGGGCUUCCUCCAGAGACUGAAGGAGUCCUUUCGUCAUUCUGUGAACACAGAUUCAUUAGAUUAAGAGGUGUCAGGGUUGCUGCGUGAAACUGCCUCUGACCAGCAACAACCUGAAGCUUCCUUCAGUCUUUGAUUCAUUCAAAGCCUUAUGAUGUUAAAUUUCAUAUUUUAAAAAUAUUUCUUUAACGUUUAUGUAACCAGGAAGUCCCUUGAGAUUACAAUCUUUUUUCGAGGGAGACCAAGAAAACACACUCUCCAACGUAGUGAACUACAGGCUUGAUGAUGUUAAGUUGUUGAUGAACUUGAAGAUGUUGAUGUUGCAGCUAACGGGCACCAGCAGUCAACAACACUGCCUUGGAGUUGGCUGUUACACUGUAGUCUUUGUCAACCACAAUCUUGUGUGUCUUGAGGAAGAGUGAGUCGUGCUGCAGGUCUAUGGUCUUACCCUUCAGAGAUGGUGUCCUCCAGCUCCACCAACCCAUGAAGAAGAACCAUCUGAAGAAACCAACAGGAGCAGAAGAACCGAGACAACGGCAGGAAGUCGUGGAGCAACCAUCGUCAGAAGACUUUAGCUUCCGACUCACAAACAGCAUUUGUUCUUCCAGCGUGCAGGGAUGUCCAGCACAGUUCCCACAGCUACAACAGAGAGCAGCUUUAAUGGUUGUAACUCUGGCUACAUGCAGCUGGAAACACCCAAAACACCACAGAUUGAACCGCAGCAGCUGAAAUCAAAUCAAAUCAAACUUUAUUUAUAGAGCACUUUUUCAUGCAAUUAAAAUGCAGCACAAAGUGCUAUACAUGUUAAAAACAGUCCCCUCCCCCCGCCCCAUCUCCAACCCCAACACAUACACACACACAUACACACACACACACACACACACACACACACACACACAGACACACACAGAUGAAGUAAUCUUAAAAGCGCGUGGCUGAGUACAGAGGAGCCAGGUCAGUAACCGUAGGGGGCCGACUACACGGGGCGCCGCCCACAGCACAGGGCCAGAUGCCUCCGCCCGGACAUGCCCCGCCACAAGGACAGUGAGGGGCCCACACAGCAAAACAGUCUGUAGACCCCUGCUUGGUCAAGAAGAUGCCAGCCACAAGACGGAGACAUCCCAACCAGGGCCAAUUGCAGCCCCCAGUGCAGCCGGCCCCCACUGAGGAAACACUGGAGAUAUGGAAUAAAAACAUAAAACUACAAAGUCUAAGAACAUAAAACUUAAUAAAUAACUAAAGUUAAAUAAAAUAUGAAAUAAAAUAUAAAGUAAAGUACUAACAAGUGGCUAAAAUAUGAUUUAAAAGUAAUAAAAUAAAAAUAAGUAAAGAGAGGGCUACGAUUCAUAAAUAAAUAAAAUUAAAUUAAAAAUAUUAAUAAAAAUAAGACAUUAGUUAAAAGCCAAAUUAAAUAGGCGGGUCUUGAGCCUACUUCUAAAAAUAUGAACAUUCUCUGCGGCCCUCAGGUCCUCUGGCAGGCUGUUCCACAGACGGGGGCCAUAGUGCUGGAAAGAUGCCUCACCGUAAGUCCGUGUUCUAGCUUUGGGAACCAUUAAGAGGCCGCUGCCAGAGGACCUCAGGGUCCGCAAGGGCUCAUAUGAUAAAAGCAAUUCUGAGAGAUAAGAAGGUCCAAGACCCCUAAGACAUUUAAAAACCAUUAAAAGGACCUUGAAAUCAAUCCUAAAGCACACAGGGAGCCAAUGCAGUGAUUUUAAAACCAGUGUAAUAUGUGCCCGCCUUCUGGUCUUCGUCAGCACACGUGCCGCGGAGUUCUGUAGCAGUUGUAAACUUGAAAUGUUUCUUUUUGGAAGACCAGAAAGCAGGGCGUUACAAUAGUCAAUACGACUGGAGAUAAAAGCAUGCAUCAGCGUCUCUGUGUUUGCCCGGGAGAGAAAGGGGCGGACUCUGGCGAUGUUCUUUAAAUGAUAAAACCCUGUUUUCGUUACGUUUUUAAUAUGUGGAAUAAAGUUGAGUUCAGAGUCAAAAAUGACGCCCAGAUUCUUCACCUGAUUGGAUGGAAUUAAAGACAGGGUUUGGAGUUUUGAUAAAAGUUUCUCUCCCUGAGCCUUAGGAUCAAUAAUUAAAACCUCAGUCUUGCCCUGGUUGAGCUGUAGGAAAUUUUCUGCCAUCCAGGAUUUGAUGUCUAAAAUACAGUUAAAAAGGGCAUCAAUCGGCCCUGUGUCAUCAGGAGACAUGGAGAUGUACA